RNAcentral lists this long non-coding RNA (6732 nucleotides) under Musa acuminata (dwarf banana). RNAcentral describes it as "long non-coding RNA (MACU_LNC003597)". Lineage: Eukaryota; Viridiplantae; Streptophyta; Magnoliopsida; Zingiberales; Musaceae. The record is from RNAcentral.
GGGCGACUGCGGCGGCGUGCUGUCAUGCACGGCGUACGGCAGCCCGCCCAACACCCUGGCGGAGUUCGCGCUCAACCAGUUCAACAACCUCGACUUCUUCGACAUCUCCCUGGUCGACGGCUUCAACGUGCCAAUGGACUUCAGCCCCACGUCAGGCGGCUGCCGCGGCAUCCGGUGCGCGGCGGACAUCAACGGGCAGUGCCCCGGGGCGCUGAAGGCGCCGGGCGGCUGCAACAACCCCUGCACCGUGUUCAAGACGGACCAGUACUGUUGCAACUCCGGCAGCUGCAGCCCGACCGACUACUCCCGGUUCUUCAAGAGAAACUGCCCCGACGCCUACAGCUAUCCCAAGGACGAUCAGACGAGCACCUUCACCUGCCCCGGCGGCACCAACUACAGGGUUGUCUUCUGCCCUUGAGAUCACUGACGCCACUAAUAAGCCGCCCUCGUGCAGGCAACCACGCAUAUAGAUAUAUAUACUAGUCUCCUACAAUACAAAUAAGAUGUCAAGAGUGAUGGAAGGUAUUAGCCUUCUCUUGGGCUAAUACUGUUGACUGAUGUAAUAGAAGUGGUGCAACCAACUAAUAAGAUGCAUAAUAUCAUCACAGCAUGAGUGCUUUUCCAUUGAUGUUUGAAUCAUUUUGUGAGAGCAAUCAGCUUAUGCAAUCAGCAAAAAGAAUAAUUAAACCAUUUCUAUUUAUGUCUUGUUGGCUUAAAACAUGAAUUGAUUUUGAAACAUAAUGAACCCUACAUAUAUAACUUCAUAAAAGAUAUCUCAAGGACCAUACAUUAUACAUACAUAUAUACAUAUAUAUACAUAUAUAUACACAUAUAUAUAUACAUAUAUAUACACAUAUAUAUACAUAUAUAUAUAUAUACAUAUACAUAUAUAUAUAUAUAUNNNNNNNNNNNNNNNNNNNNUAUGUAUAUAUAUAUAUGUAUAUAUAUAUAUAUCAUUUAGGAUGAUGAGUCAUCGCCUAUCCAAUUUGGACCUCUGCCAUUCUCCGUAGAAACUUUGCGUAGCCAUUUUCCAAUACAAUUGCGCGUUGACCAGAGUGCGUCCAUGUGAUCCUCCCCGGUAAGUUUGGUGCCCGAAAUUAUCCGGCAAGUAUGGCUUUAAAUAUUGGAAUUAGUUGCUCUUUGUUUUACGUAGGCCGAUCAAGAUGAACAGAGAGAAUGAUGCUGACUAAUUGAGCCCUGACCAAUCGAGGGCUUCAGGACUCGAGCCCCGACGCGCCCUCGGGAAGCUGCCGCGGGAGGCGGACAUCGAUGGGCAGUGCCCGCAGGUGUUGAGGGCGCCGCGGCGGGUGCACCGCUCGACCGUGUCCAAGGCGGACCGGUACUGCUGCAGCUCCUGCAACUGUGCGUCAAGCGGCUACUUCAGCUUCUUGAGGAGGAACUGCACCGAUGGCUAUAUCUUCCCACAACCUUACGGCCUGGCUUCCACCACUAGUUUCUACGGUAGUCUUCCUCCUCCAAGAGUCGAAUUCAGCUUCCUACAAGAUUAUAAUGAUGGUUUGUAUCAAUUAGUUGUUAAAUUGUAUUUUGGAACCUAAUACAUAUUUUAAAUAUAAAUUCAUAUUUAAAGUUUCUUUAACAUCACAUUUGUCAUGAAUAUAGUGUCAGUAAAUGCUUAAAUUCUGAAACUAUCUUAGAAUAAUUAUAACAUCUCGAGUAAUCUCACAUAAAAAAUGAAUAAGAUUAAAAUUAACUUAUGAUAGUAUAUUACUAUCAAUAUUAAUUUGAAUAUUUUGAUUGCUUGGAUUCAAGAAAAUUGAUAAGUCAAUUAGUUAAUCAAUUGUGACAUUCGAUAUCAAAUUAGUAUUAGGAUAUAGUAUAAUCAAAUUACUAUUAGCGUAUCGUGAGUGAGCUUCGUACUCGUUCAUUGUGAAGUCAUCUUGGGCUAUGUCUUACAUGCCGCGCUAUAUUGAGUCUUUGACAAUGAUUAAUUUUUUUUUUAUAGUUCACACAUAAAAAUAGAUUUUGAACUAUUUAAUUUUAAAAAUCAUAUUAUUUAUUAUAAAAUAUAUUUAUUAAAAUUUAAUUAACUAAUAAAAUUAUUAACUUAUUCACAUAAUUAAGAAAAUCAAUUUUAAUCAUUUUCUUAGCCAUACUAUACAAACAAAAUCACAAUGUAUAUAUUUUUCUUAAAUUUUUAUCUUAAAUGCAUGUUGCUAAUUAUAAUACUUGAUUUAUAUUUAGAUUUAUAUGAUAGUUGAUUAAAAAUAUUAUUUCUUCUCUUAUGUAAUUUUAUCUUUUUAAUAAUCUAUUGUUUAUUAUAUUUUAAUGACUCAAUGCUUGGGAUUAGAUGUUUUUUACUAUAAUUUCAUAAUGCUAUAAUUUAGAAUUGAAGAAAUUGAUUAGGAUUUGGGUUAUAUCUCACACGUACAAUCUUAGAGUUUGAGUUGGGUUUUAAUAAGGAUCAUUUAUUUUUUAUAUAAUAUUUAUUUCCUAUGAUUCACACAUAAAAAUAAAAUUUAAAUUAUUUACUUUCUAAAAAUUGCAUCACUCGUUGAGAAACGAAUCAAUUAAUAAUUUAAUUAAUUUAGUAAUCAUAUUACAUAAAUAAAAUCAUAAUGUGUAGUAUUUUAAAAUUUUUUAUCUUACAUGCAUGAUGCACGAUGAUAAUUAUAAUCCUUGGUUUCUAUUAUAUUUAUAUAGUAAUUUAUUAAAAAUAUUAUUUUCUCACUAAUGUAAUUUUAUUUUAAAAUUUAUUACUAUUUAUUAUGUUUUUAAUGACUCAAUACUAAUGAUCAGAUAUUCUAAUUAGUAGUCAUAUUAGUAAUCAUUAAGAAAUUUAAUUUAAAUUAUUUCAGUAAUAAUAUUACAUAAAUAAAAUCAUAAUGUGUAGUAUUUUUAAAAUUGUUAUCUUACAUGCAUGAUGCAUGAUGAUAAUUAUAAUACUUGGUUUCUAUUAGAUUUAUAUAAUAAUUUAUUAAAAUAUUAUUUUCUCACUUAUGUAAUUUUAGUUUUAAAAUUUAUUACUAUUUAUUAUGUUUUUAGUGACUCAAUACUAAUGAUCAGAUAUUCUAAUUAUAUUUUUUAUAUUUUAAAAUUAAGAGAAUUGAUUAAGAUUUAAGUUGAAAUCAACAAACAAUUAGAGCUAACCCAUAGGCUAGCCACAACUCGUAGAUUAAGCUCAGCAAGCAAGUCAACCCAUAGCCUAUAGGACUCCAAUAUGAUCAGUUAUGUAAUGUACAGACCAAGUCAGAUUUCAUAAACUUAGAUAGAUUCAAGGUAAUUCUAAACUUAUUUAGUCUAUUCAUGUCUAUCUAAUCUAAAUCGAACUCAAUCUAGUCCAAAGUAUACAAGUCUAAGAUGAUUCUAGACUGAUUAAAUGAGAAUUAAAAAUCGAUUUUAUUAUACUAGAGUUAAAUCGAGUUCAAUUGAUUUUAAUUAAACUCGUUUAGAUCGAUUAAGUUCUAGUUAAAUCAGGUUCAAUUAGACCGAUUGAGUUAAGUUAGAUAAAACCUAGGGAUAUGAGUUAUAAAUAAUAUUCAUCAAAUUUCUUCAAUCUAAUUUAUGCUAAAAUAGUUCAAUAAUAAAAAAUAAUAACUGCAAUAAUUAUUGAAUGUUAAUCAGUAUAAUGAAAAAUUCAUAUAAUAACUAUAAUUAUGAUAAGUCAUGAAUUAUAUUUUUAUAUAAUUUUCAAACAUAUUAUAUAAAUAAUCAAAUAAAUAUCCAAGAAAAAUAAUUAGAUUUUUAUUUAUCACAUGCAAAAUUUUAUCAAUAUGACAAAUAAGAAAAUUAUUAAAGAAAAAUCAUAAUUUAUAUUUUUAAAAUUUUGUAUGAACCCUUAUACCAAUCAACCCUAUUUAAUUAGGUAAGCCCAUAAUUGGACUACCUAAAUUGGGCUAACAAUUUGCCUAAUUAGACCCAUUAAGAUUAAAGUUGAUCAAAAUAAAAAAAAGAUCAAAAAUAACUUUUUUUUAAUUUGAUCAAAAACUUAAUUGGUCGAAUUUAAAUCCAACCAAAUAGUUAAAAUAUAGUAAUGAUUAAGCUCGUUUAAAAGAUUUGAUUAAAAUAAAUCAAAUUAAUAAAUUUUAUAAUUGAGGGCAUAUCUCAAAAUAUUUUAAUUCAAAAGGGUAAAACUAUAAUUUUACUGGGAUAUGUAGAGAAAAUAUCUAAUUUCUGAAGAAUAUAAUUAUCAAAAGGACACAAGUUGAAAUUAAAAGACUUUAUAAGAAUAAAUUUAUAAUUUUAAAAAUAAAUCCUAAUCUUUCACCCAGAAAGGCUCUCUCGCAUUUGUCAUUGGUUCCACCAUGCCCACACGCAAAAGUCAACACCGCAGUGUUCGCCCACCACCUGCAUGGACAACGAGGCAGUUGUCCUUAUGCAUUCAAACGAUAACCUCAUCGGUCGUCGCGUUGUGCCAUGCUCAUGAGUGGCUAUUAUCAUCGUGCGCUUGACUAUAACACUUCAAAAACAAUAUGUAUGUCACUGACCGGAAGCUAUCGCGUAGUUACGCACACAUGCCGAUCGAUAACCCCCAGAAUCACUUUGAUGUGUGACUGUGCUCGCUUGUCUUGCUACAUAGUCGUUGGGAACAAUGGCUUUCAGUGUCCAAUCGAUGUUGACCAUGGCCAACAAGCACUACCACAGUGGUAUUACUGUAACCAUUGUACGUAGUGAAGCUAUAUAGCCACUAUAGGUGCAUGCGCACAUAGUGGCACUGUUACAAUCAUCGCACUUAGUAUUAUACCCCAUGGUGCUUCCAUUAGGUACGCAAUUGCUACUCGCGAUUGAACUAAUGACAAUCAAAAGUUGUCGCUCUUAACCAUAUUGUUAUCGACAAUAAGCUAGUCACAGUGAUCCAUUGAUCAAGUACGAGAAAAUUCAUAUCUCCCACAAAUAGGUGAUAAGAUCGAUUAAAUAGAAAAAUAGAUCAAUAAUAUAUAUGAAUCAUUCAUACAUCGUAAAUAAAAAAUUGAAUAACACUUUUUCAUAAGCCAAAGAUGCUAACAAAUAUAUCUAAAAUAAUUUAUUUUACAAACAUGACUCUGAUAUCAAUUGUAAGUAUAAAAACCAUCCUUAUGCUAUUGUUAUGCAGAAAACUUUAACACCAAAAUCUAAAAUCAAAUAAUAAUAGAUAAGAUUCAUGAUACGUACAUUUUGAUGCUAGUUAAAAAAGCUCUUAUAUGAUCUAUAGGUACACCAUCGUUGGAUCUGAAAGUUAUAGUAAUAUCGAUCUAUAAGAAGAAUUAGACUCAUCGUUUUCUCAUUUUCUAUCCUUUAUAGGACCACUACAAUGGAUUUAGAGACUAAGGGGAGAUGAGAGAAGAUUUAUAAUUUCUCACUGACUUAUUCACAAAAAUUUAUAAUUUUUUAAUAAUAUUUUGUAAACACGUAUCGUUUUUAUCUUCUUAUAGUAUUUCUAGGUGAGAAUAGAAAAUCUAUGAUAAGUAAUGAAUAGGGUCUUUCUAAUCAAAAUCUAUCUCUUAACGAAUUUUAUGAUAAUUUAAUUUUUUAUCAAUCUAUAAUCAUAAUUAAAAUUUAAUCAUAUCUAUAAUAUAUCUUAAAUAAAUAAUUAGUGAUAUAUAAUCUGACACCUCUCUCUUCUCUCCCUUAUAAAUUCCCCACCUCUCCACCCCUCGGAUCUGCACAACACAGAGCACGAAGCCUAAGACUCGCCGUUAGAUGGCUUCGUCAAGCAUUCUCUCCCUCUCCUUCUUCUCCCUUCUUGUCACCCUCUCCCAUGCCGCCAACUUCGAGAUCGUGAACCGAUGCUCUUACACAGUGUGGGCCGCGGCCGUGCCCGGCGGCGGACGCCAGCUCAACCAGGGGCAGUCGUGGACCAUCAACGUGAAAGCGGGAACGACCGGCGGCCGCAUCUGGGGCCGCACAGGCUGCUCCUUCGACGGGAGCGGCCACGGGCGGUGCCAGACGGGCGACUGCGGCGGGUUGCUGGCGUGCACGGCGUACGGUAGCCCGCCCAACACCCUGGCGGAGUUCGCGCUCAACCAGUACAGCAACCAAGACUACGUGGACAUCUCCCUGGUCGACGGCUUCAACGUGCCUAUGGACUUCAGCCCCACGUCGGGCGGCUGCCGCGGCAUGCGGUGCACGGCGGACAUCAACAAGAAGUGCCCCACGGCACUGAAGGCGCCGGGCGGCUGCAACAACCCCUGCACCGUGUUCAAGACGGACCAGUACUGCUGCAACUCCGGCAGCUGCCAGCCGACCGAGUACUCCAAGUUCUUCAAGAGCAACUGCCCCGACGCCUACAGCUAUCCGAAGGACGAUCCGACGAGCCUCGUCGCCUGCCCCGGCGGCACCAACUACAGGGUUGUCUUCUGCCCUUGAGAUCACCGACGCCACUAAUAAGCCUCCCUCGUGUAGGCAACCACGCAGAUAUAUAUAUAUAUAUAUAUNNNNNNNNNNNNNNNNNNNNCCCGACGCCUACAGCUAUACCGAAGGACGAUCCGACGAGCCUCGUCGCCUGCCCCGGCGGCACCAACUACAGGGUUGUCUUCUGCCCUUGAGAUCACCGACGCCACUAAUAAGCCUCCCUCGUGUAGGCAACCACGCAGAUAUAUAUAUAUAUAUAUAUAGCAGUCUCCUACAACACAAAUAAGAUGUCAAGAGUGAUGGAAGGUAUUAGCCUUCUCUUGGGCUAAUACUGUUGACUGAUGUAAUAGAAGUGGUGCAACCAACUAAUACGAUGCAUAAUUAUCACAGCAUGAGUGCUUUUCCAUUGAUGUUUAAAUCAUUUUGUGAGAGCAAUCAGAUAAA